UACCAAGGGGUUGAGUCAUACUAAGUGUGGUUAAAAGACAGUUAAACAUUGAGUAUAAGAAGGCCGUCUAAUGUAAUAUAUAGAGGUAAAAUUCAAGUAUAAUAUCAUGAGUCAGCGGCGGCUUUAGACUAGUUGAAUCUGUGAAAUCCUUGAGGGAAACUGGGAUUAGGUACCCCAUUAUUCUUGGGCGUAAAUAGAGAGAUUUUUACCAGAGUACUAUGAAUAUUGUAAUUUAAAACUCAAAGAACUUGGCGGUGUUUUAGACCAUUUAGGGGAACCUGUCUCGUAAUCGACAGUCCACGAUAUACCUGACCUUUUUUUGUUUUUCAGUUUGUAUACCGUUGUCGUCAGGUAACUUUUUAGAAAAUAGAAGUUGGCUUGAAAAAUAAGAUAAUUUAAUACGUCAAAUCAAGGUGCAGCUAAUAAAAAGGGGAGGAUGGGUUACAAUUAUGAAUUUAUAAUUACGAAUAAUCAUAUGUAAAUGUGAUUUGUGAAGGAGGACUUAAAAGUAAAUUAAAUUAUAAAAAUAAUUUGAAUGAGGCUCUGAAACGUGU
This 554-nucleotide ribosomal RNA is filed under the name Terebra argus. Its description in RNAcentral is "partial 12S ribosomal RNA". The record is from RNAcentral. Lineage: Eukaryota; Metazoa; Mollusca; Gastropoda; Neogastropoda; Terebridae.